Molecule: non-coding RNA, 1201 nt
Organism: Chlorocebus sabaeus (green monkey)
Lineage: Eukaryota; Metazoa; Chordata; Mammalia; Primates; Cercopithecidae
Source: RefSeq, a predicted model, not a curated record
GCCAGCGCCUCCUUGUGCUUGGACGAGAACUGGAAGGUGCCCUUGUCCUUGUCCACCCACCAGAUGCUGUCCUUCAUGUCGCCGCUGCGGAGCAGGUCCAACAGGAACUGCCACUUUGUCCCUCCUGCCUUGGGAGAUGUAGUGAAGCUAGCACAGGCCUUGUCCUCUGCACAUUACCGUACCUCAUAGAUUGCAUGCCUUACCUCGCUGAAUCAUCACAGCUCUAGGAGGCCCAGCCCUCGGAAGGAGACGGGAGUCCAGGGAGGCCAAGGCCCGCUCCCGGGGAGGCCCGUGCUCCUCCAGCCCCGGGGACAGCAAGGAAAAGAGAAGAGAGCAGAGCAUUUCAUGGCUAUAAUAAAUCAAAGGGGGAAGUCGGAGCAGGAGAAAUAAGAAACUUCCCUUGCCUGGGCACGGGGACCUGCCAGGCAGCAGCCCCCGGGUGCCCCGCGGCCUUCCCUCCUUCCUCCUGCCUCCCUGGCCAGUGCCCAGAUCUCUCUUCAGGCCUGGGUACCCCCAUCUACCCAGAGACACCCGCCCCUGGACACCCAACAGCCCUCCUCGCUGCACUUCCCGGGCUGGCACCUCUCCGCAUGGCCUCAGUUUCCUCUUAAUUGGCACAGAAAGCCCUGGGUCAUGUAGUCAGGCUGCCCAGCAGAGAAGGAUGAAGACAGAAGACAGGCAGUGCCCCCUCUGAAACGAGGACCCUCAGUGGACAGAGGGAGGGGUGAGGUGUCCUGAGAACUCCUAGUGGGACAGUUGGAGCUGCAUGGACAGACGUCUGGGAGCCAAGACGAGAGGGAGAGGCAGCAGAGUUCAGAGCAGAGAUGGGGCCAGCCCCAGGCCGUGACAGCUGGCAGGCCCUCAACCAUCAACCUCAACCAUCCCUGAACUUCUCCCCAGCCAGACCAGGUGGCCCAGGGCCUGGGGCUUGAAGGGCCUAGAGGUCACCGUGGGGCAUGAGAUGUCCACAGCCUUGGGACAUAACCCGGGUGUAUCUUCUUGGAACAUCCACUCAGGUAGAAGACUGAGAGGGGAAGAUGUUUUUAAGAAAGGGGAGGGAAAUCCCCACACAUUAAAGAGAAGGAUGCAAACUUAUAUGAUUUUUUAAAGAUAAAAUAAGGAAUUUCAGGCUGGGCACAGUGGCUCACACCUGUAAUCCCAGCACUUUGGGAGGCCGAGGCAGGUGGAUCCCCUGAGCUGA